This 23-nucleotide transfer RNA is filed under the name Philcoxia minensis. RNAcentral describes it as "partial tRNA-Leu". Lineage: Eukaryota; Viridiplantae; Streptophyta; Magnoliopsida; Lamiales; Plantaginaceae. The record is from RNAcentral. RNAcentral also lists the same sequence under 1 other name.
UCCGUCGACUUUAAAAAUCGUGA